UACGAAGGGGGCGAGCGUUGUUCGGAAUUACUGGGCGUAAAGGGCGUGUAGGCGGUUUGUUAAGUCGGGCGUGAAAGCCCAGGGCUCAACCCUGGAACUGCGCCCGAGACUGGCAAGCUUGAGUUCGGAAGAGGUGCGUGGAAUUCCCAGUGGAGAGGUGAAAUUCGUAGAGAUUGGGAAGAACACCAGCGGCGAAGGCGGCGCACUGGUCCGAUACUGACGCUGAGGCGCGACAGCGUGGGGAGCAAACAGG
Molecule: ribosomal RNA, 253 nt
Filed under: uncultured bacterium
Lineage: Bacteria
Description: partial 16S ribosomal RNA
Rfam family: Bacterial small subunit ribosomal RNA
Source: RNAcentral